RNAcentral lists this ribosomal RNA (384 nucleotides) under Enterobius vermicularis (human pinworm). RNAcentral's name for it is "SSU rRNA". It matches the Rfam family "Eukaryotic small subunit ribosomal RNA", at positions 608 to 984 of the family's 1831-position model. Lineage: Eukaryota; Metazoa; Nematoda; Chromadorea; Rhabditida; Oxyuridae. The record is from RNAcentral.
GUUGCUGCUGCGGUUAAAAAGCUCGUAGUUGGAUCUGCGCUUGAGAACUUGGUCCACCAUUUUGGUGCUGAACUAAGUACAUCUCAGUGUUUACCGUUUAGCUGGUUCUCCUAGCGUUGCCUUUACCGGUCGCGUUAGGUGGCUAGCAAGUUUACUUUGAAAAAAUUAGAGUGCUUAAAGCGGGCUAUUGAUGCUUGAAUAGUGGUGCAUGGAAUAAUAGAAUACGAUUACGGAUCUAUUUUGUUGGUUUUCUGAUCUGUGAUAAUGGUUAAGAGGGACAAACGGGGGCAUUCGUAUCGCUGCGCGAGAGGUGAAAUUCGUGGACCGUAGCGAGACGCCCUACUGCGAAAGCAUUUGCCAAGAAUGUUUUCAUUAAUCAAGAAC